CUGGCUGUGGGGUAGUGGUUGCCCGCUUGCUUUGGGAGCAAGUCUACGCAGGUUCGAAUCCUGUCAGCCAGAC
RNAcentral lists this transfer RNA (73 nucleotides) under Microbacterium phage A3Wally. Its description in RNAcentral is "tRNA-Trp". It matches the Rfam family "tRNA". Rfam says of the family: Transfer RNA (tRNA) molecules are approximately 80 nucleotides in length. Their secondary structure includes four short double-helical elements and three loops (D, anti-codon, and T loops). Lineage: Duplodnaviria; Heunggongvirae; Uroviricota; Caudoviricetes. The record is from RNAcentral.